CUAGGAGGCCUCUGCC
Molecule: microRNA, 16 nt
Filed under: Macrophomina phaseolina MS6
Lineage: Eukaryota; Fungi; Ascomycota; Dothideomycetes; Botryosphaeriales; Botryosphaeriaceae
Description: miR-4266
Source: RNAcentral